RNAcentral lists this long non-coding RNA (735 nucleotides) under Ananas comosus (pineapple). RNAcentral's name for it is "long non-coding RNA (ACOM_LNC012026)". The record is from RNAcentral. Lineage: Eukaryota; Viridiplantae; Streptophyta; Magnoliopsida; Poales; Bromeliaceae.
UGGCAUUAAACCUAGUGUCUUGAACAUAGGUUGAACAAGUAUAGUGUGAACCUAGUGUCAUGAACCUAGCAAACACUUAUGGUAUUUGAGCAUAUAUAUUUUGUAUCAUUCAUGCAUGAUAGGGCUAAGUACAUGUGAACCUUGGUUGCUUUCAAUGACAUGUUCUAACGUAGUUGAACAUAGAGAAUGGUAGAACCAUAAUGGACAUGUAUGUUAGGACCCUAUAAUUGUGUGAAUGUGAGAGUUGGACUUGGACAUAGUAAACAAAGGUGACAUUGACAAUAGAGACAUUGUUUGGCAUAGAGAACAUAGUUGUUAAACAUAGUUUAACCAAGAGUGGCAUUGAGACAAGAAUGGCCUAGAGAGCGGCAUGAAUAAAUAGGUAGAAAACCUAUUAUGACAAUGGCAUUGUGACAAGUGGCUAUGAAUCCUCAAGUUGAGGAUUGGAUCUAUACUCACGAUAAGUCUUGGCUUGAGGGAGGUAGCUCCCCCUCAAGCGGUGCGCUCCGGAGUAGGUCACCACGGGGAUAGUGGCCCCGAAGAACGGUCCCUCGAGUGGAAGUGCUCGAAGCCUCCUCGAUCAAAAGGGAUUUUGGGUUGUGAGUCAUUGGGGUUAACAAGGUUAACCGGUAAGAUUUGGUCAAAGCCAAGUAAGAGUUACUUUUAAAAGAAUAAACGCACUACAAUAUGAUUGACUCGAAACCGAGUCGGGUGGUUAGCUUGGCUAGGGUAGAG